UGGGGAAUAUUGGACAAUGGGCGAAAGCCUGAUCCAGCCAUGCCGCGUGUGUGAAGAAGGUCUUCGGAUUGUAAAGCACUUUAAGUUGGGAGGAAGGGCAGUUACCUAAUACGUAUCUGUUUUGACGUUACCGACAGAAUAAGCACCGGCUAACUCUGUGCCAGCAGCCGCGGUAAUACAGAGGGUGCAAGCGUUAAUCGGAAUUACUGGGCGUAAAGCGCGCGUAGGUGGUUUGUUAAGUUGGAUGUGAAAUCCCCGGGCUCAACCUGGGAACUGCAUCCAAAACUGGCAAGCUAGGGUAUGGUAGAGGGUGGUGGAAUUUCCUGUGUAGCGGUGAAAUGCGUAGAUAUAGGAAGGAACACCAGUGGCGAAGGCGACCACCUGGACUGAUACUGACGCUGAGGCGCGAAAGCAAGGGGAGCAAACAGGAUUAGAUACCCGAGUAGUCCCUGAGCGGGCUGGCAAGGCGCAU
RNAcentral lists this ribosomal RNA (472 nucleotides) under uncultured bacterium. RNAcentral describes it as "bacterial SSU rRNA". It matches the Rfam family "Bacterial small subunit ribosomal RNA", at positions 355 to 825 of the family's 1533-position model. The record is from RNAcentral.